Long non-coding RNA from Pipistrellus kuhlii (Kuhl's pipistrelle), 1104 nucleotides. RefSeq lists it as uncharacterized. NCBI's taxonomy places the organism in Eukaryota, Metazoa, Chordata, Mammalia, Chiroptera, Vespertilionidae. The transcript has 3 exons. The record is from RefSeq and is a predicted model, not a curated record.
GUGUGCUCUUCAGAUCUGUGGAUUUUUAUGUGACUCGUUUCACAGAGGAAGUGAUGCUUUUUGCGUGAAGAACUCCAGGGCAUUAGAAUUAAAGUACUUUCCUGAGACUCAAGUAAUUUGCUUUCUUCCCACCCUCGGCACUCACAUACCGCCAGCAAGAUACUUGGCCUUUAUAUUCUCAUGCGUUCAGGAUGCUAUUCUACAUUAGGCGUGUUUUUUUGUUUUUGUUUUUUUUUAAGUAUUCUUUUUUAUUGGCUACCUUAUAUUACUAAGGAUAUCAUUUAGGUAGACCAGAUGGUGAUUCUCAGGGUCAUUCCUUUCCUGUUAAAAAAGGCCAUUCCUUUGAAUGACUUGGUGCUGGGCAUCCCUCCCGGUUUUCUCCAAUAGGCAAUUACUCCCCCUCCCCCGCUUUUUAAAUACAUGUGAGUGCUAAGUAAAGAUCCAGGCUCACUGUCUUGUUAACAUAUAUCUUAAUUGCUUUUUAAACUAAUUAACUGUUUAUCUUACUAUAUGAAUUAUCAUUAUUAAAAUAUUUCUCAAAACGUACUUCUAGGAAGGAAGGAAGGAAGGAAAAGGAAAGGAAGGCAGAUAUUAUGUGGACUUGAAUGUCCUUGCAGUUUUCCUGUGAAAGAGAAGCAGAAUGCCAAGCAUUUGUUUUCCAGCCCAGCAUGUGCCUGCAUACUUUUCCUCCUAUUUUCCAUCUGUGAUUUCUUUUUUAUGCUCCCUAUUCAUAGAGAUGGGGGUUUCACAAAUGGUGAAUUUUGAGGACCACUUGACAUCUCAUGGCAGUCCUUCCUCAGUUUGUAGAUAACCUUCCUGAAAGUUAGAGAGCAUUAAGUCUAAGUCAGUAGUAGACUUUCAAGAAUUGGGGGCCCCUUUUUAAUGUUUUAAAUGAAUUUGCCUGUUGACACAGUGCACAAUGCAAUGCUUCUUGAAGGGUGUCCCCAACACUCCCUGGUGGUUAAAUACCACCAGAAUCACCUUGGGAGGCAAUAUUAUGACCCUUUCAGUUGUUUUCCCCAAAACCUUCUGAUUGAUUCAGGGAGCCUUAUGACAGUAUAACACCUAAGGCUUUAUAAUACCUAAGGCUUUAUAAUCUUUCCU